This is a non-coding RNA of Metarhizium robertsii ARSEF 23, 97 nucleotides long. NCBI's taxonomy places the organism in Eukaryota, Fungi, Ascomycota, Sordariomycetes, Hypocreales, Clavicipitaceae. The record is from Rfam.
ACCAAGAUGGCCGAGGGGUUAAGGCGGUGGACUUAAGCCAUUUUUGGCAUAAUUUCCACUAUCGAGAGAUUCCUGGGUUCGAACCCCAGUCUUGGUA